This 378-nucleotide unclassified non-coding RNA is filed under the name plant metagenome. Its description in RNAcentral is "partial contains 5.8S ribosomal RNA, internal transcribed spacer 2, and large subunit ribosomal RNA". The stretch from base 1 to 105 matches the Rfam family "5.8S ribosomal RNA", at positions 50 to 154 of the family's 154-position model. The record is from RNAcentral.
GAAAUGCGAUAAGUAAUGUGAAUUGCAGAAUUCAGUGAAUCAUGGAAUCUUUGAACGCACCUUGCGCUCCUUGGUAUUCCUUGGAGCAUGCCUGUUUGAGUAUCAUGAAAUCUUCAAAGUAAAUCUUUUGUUAACUCAAUUGGUUUCUACUUUGGUAUUGGAGGUCUUUGCAGCUUCACACCUGCUCCUCUUUGUUCAUUAGCUGGAUCUCAGUGCUAUGCUUGGUUCCACUCGGCGUGAUAAGUUAUCUAUCGCUGAGGACACUGUAAAAGGUGGCCAAGGUAAAUGCAGAUGAACCGCUUCUAAUAGUCCAUUGACUUGGACAAUACUUUUAUGAUCUGAUCUCAAAUCAGGUAGGACUACCCGCUGAACUUAAGC